This 551-nucleotide ribosomal RNA is filed under the name uncultured bacterium. RNAcentral's name for it is "bacterial SSU rRNA". It matches the Rfam family "Bacterial small subunit ribosomal RNA", at positions 355 to 896 of the family's 1533-position model. The record is from RNAcentral.
UGGGGAAUAUUGGACAAUGUGGCGCAAGCCUGAUCCAGCCAUACCGCGUGGGUGAAGAAGGCCUUCGGGUUGUAAAGCCCUUUUGUUGGGAAAGAAAUCCAGCUGGCUAAUACCCGGUUGGGAUGACGGUACCCAAAGAAUAAGCACCGGCUAACUUCGUGCCAGCAGCCGCGGUAAUACGAAGGGUGCAAGCGUUACUCGGAAUUACUGGGCGUAAAGCGUGCGUAGGUGGUCGUUUAAGUCCGUUGUGAAAGCCCUGGGCUCAACCUGGGAACUGCAGUGGAUACUGGGCGACUAGAAUGUGGUAGAGGGUGGCGGAAUUCCUGGUGUAGCAGUGAAAUGCGUAGAGAUCAGGAGGAACAUCCAUGGCGAAGGCAGCUACCUGGACCAACAUUGACACUGAGGCACGAAAGCGUGGGGAGCAAACAGGAUUAGAUACCCUGGUAGUCCACGCCCUAAACGAUGCGAACUGGAUGUUGGGUGCAAUUUGGCACGCAGUAUCGAAGCUAACGCGUUAAGUUCGCCGCCUGGGGAGUACGGUCGCAAGACUG